ACUUUUAUAGGAUACAGCUCAUCCAUUGGUCUUAGGAACCAAAAAUCUUGGUGCAACUCCAAAUAAAAGUA
Molecule: transfer RNA, 71 nt
Filed under: Stenocephalemys albipes (White-footed Stenocephalemys)
Lineage: Eukaryota; Metazoa; Chordata; Mammalia; Rodentia; Muridae
Description: tRNA-Leu
Rfam family: tRNA
About the family: Transfer RNA (tRNA) molecules are approximately 80 nucleotides in length. Their secondary structure includes four short double-helical elements and three loops (D, anti-codon, and T loops). Further hydrogen bonds mediate the characteristic L-shaped molecular structure. tRNAs have two regions of fundamental functional importance: the anti-codon, which is responsible for specific mRNA codon recognition, and the 3' end, to which the tRNAs corresponding amino acid is attached (by aminoacyl-tRNA synthetases). tRNAs cope with the degeneracy of the genetic code in two manners: having more than one tRNA (with a specific anti-codon) for a particular amino acid; and 'wobble' base-pairing, i.e. permitting non-standard base-pairing at the 3rd anti-codon position.
Source: RNAcentral